AAGAGUCAUUCAUUUCAGUAGCUUCCUAUGUGAUCUAGCUUUCCAAAUUUUUAUGGUAUCAACCUUAUUGUGUUAGCUAGAUAUACACCAAAGUUGAGCCCAGUUUAACAACGUUUACUAUUUUUCAAAAAUUGUAACUUUCGGUUACACAAAACUGCCAGAAAUGGUAGAUCAUGGUAAAAACGUCAUAUCUCUCAAACCACUUGGAGUUUUCGACUCUACUUUUUUUAAAUGAAACUAGACUCGUAGACCUUUCUUUUGAUAUGAGUCUCGAGUCCAGGAGAUGUCGGAGUCAGAACAGUUUAAAUUUUGAAGUUGGGUCAGUGUAAAAACAGAGCAUGUUUUGAUGAUGUUUGAUUGUGUUUUCUUAUGUGCCUUAUGUGAUUGUGUUGCCUAUGUGUUUAAAUGAGAUUAGACGAGCCUUAUAUGUGAGAUAAAUCGAGACUUAGAACCAUGAUUUUCUUGAAACCUAUCCUUGAACUUAAGGAUGUGAGAUGAGUGGAGAGUUUAUAUAAAGUUGAGUAAGGAGAUAGAAUAUGAGAUAGAGCAUGAGUUAAGGCUUGGGAGUUAGUCAAUGAGUUUCUAAUCGAGAUUCAUUUUAUGACAUGAACUUUCGAUGAUGAUGAUGAUCCCUGAAGACACGAGAAGAGCAAGGAAGUAAGUAACUCCACUUUGACGGGAGAUUUUGAGUAAGGUCUUCAGGUGGGCAAUAUUUUGAGUAUAUGUUUAUCGUAUGAGCUUUCUAAAAUGAUUUUAU
RNAcentral lists this long non-coding RNA (757 nucleotides) under Salvia miltiorrhiza (redroot sage). RNAcentral's name for it is "long non-coding RNA (SMIL_LNC012567)". The record is from RNAcentral. Lineage: Eukaryota; Viridiplantae; Streptophyta; Magnoliopsida; Lamiales; Lamiaceae.